GGUCCUGUAGUGUAGAGGUUAUCACGUUCGGCUUUGAUCCGGACAACGCAGGUUCGAACCCUGCCAGGACCU
Molecule: non-coding RNA, 72 nt
Organism: Phialemonium atrogriseum
Lineage: Eukaryota; Fungi; Ascomycota; Sordariomycetes; Cephalothecales; Cephalothecaceae
Source: the annotation of a RefSeq genome assembly